AUGGUGGCUGAUGAAAGCGGGCGAGGGCGUGUUUAUGGACUGGACAUCCAAGAGUCCGCGAUAGAUAGCACUUCCUCUUUUCUGAAAAUGGCCGUCGACAGCCAUGAGAGGGAGCUAGUCAAAUUGUUUUGCAUAUGUCACAGUAGAAUGGAGGAUAUUAUUCCGAAAGAUUCUACUGUCAGGCUUGUAGCAUUCAAUCUGGGCUACCUUCCAGGAGGAGAUAAAAAAAUAAUCACAGUACCUGAGACAACUGAGCUGGCACUACAAGCUGCCAGCAGAAUUGUUGGCUCAGGGGGGCUCAUAAGUGUCCUUGUCUACACUGGGCAUCGGGGUGGAAGGGAUGAACUCGAUAUUGUUGAAUCAUUUGCGUCAAGCUUGCCUGCUGAUACAUGGGUGAGCUGCAAGUUUGAAAUGAUUAACAGGCCAGUUGCUCCAGUACUAGUUCUCCUGCACAAGAAAUGA
Molecule: ribosomal RNA, 462 nt
Filed under: Triticum aestivum (bread wheat)
Lineage: Eukaryota; Viridiplantae; Streptophyta; Magnoliopsida; Poales; Poaceae
Description: partial small subunit ribosomal RNA
Source: RNAcentral